Sitophilus oryzae (rice weevil) is the source of this 1170-nucleotide long non-coding RNA. RefSeq lists it as uncharacterized. The transcript has 2 exons. NCBI's taxonomy places the organism in Eukaryota, Metazoa, Arthropoda, Insecta, Coleoptera, Curculionidae. The record is from RefSeq and is a predicted model, not a curated record.
UAUCGUUGGGGAGACCAUAAACUCUCGAAAGCCCAAGUUAUCGAAAACCCGAACGCAAGCGAACGGUAAACCGAAUGGUCCCGAUUAGAAGUUAUCGAAUCUCGGCUCCUCCCCUCGUUAUUUGUAUUUUAAAUUGUAAACAAAAGUCAACGCAAUUUGUUUUUGGUGGAAAUAUACACUAAAAUACUUUAAAAUGUAAAGUUAUCUUGCAAAAUUAGAACCUGAAAGCCUAGAAAUGCGGAAUCGGUACAAACCAAAAAUUUAACUUGUGAAUAACAUAGAAAAUAGAAGUCCUUAGUUUUGAUAUUUAUUUUAAAUGCUAGCCCAGACUGCCCAGUGGAGUUUUCAAAGAUAUAAGAAACACGGAAAUUAUUAGUAGUGUUCACCAUGAAUUCUUACAAAUUUCCAGAAAUUGAAAGGAAAUAGGAGGCGUGUGUUAAGCAAGAUUUUGUAGUGAUUAUGGAAGCCUAAAGUUGCAGGCCAUAUCCUUAUCAAAGCAAAAAGUCAAAAAUCUACAGCGUAUGAAUAGUAUGUAAACCUGAAGCCUGCAGCUGAGAUUGUGUUAGAAAGGGUUUCAACAUCAAACUAUACUGAAUAGAGGUGGGUUGUGAAAUCGCAGUCCGCUACUUUGUCACAGCUCCACCAACGUCGCAGUAUGUGACUGCUCCAGUUCCAAGAAAAUCGCAGUGACAUUUCGGAGCAGUUUACAAGUUUAGGACAUCUGCGCUCGUGAGUAGCAAUAGGAGCAAUAGCAGGCAAUAGUGUAAAUUCUGAAAAUGCUCCUAGCCCCGUCGCCCGGUCAGACUGUUCCAGUCACAGUCGUCGCAGGUCGCAGUCGACUGGAGCAUAGUAUAUUGAGUAUAUUCUGUGUACUGGAGCUGUUGGGAGUUUGGGAACGGGAAACGUAGCAGCGUUCGCUUUUUCUUUCAUGAAUCUAAAUAAGAUAUUUAUGUAUUAUAUAUUAAUCACAAACAGAUGUUUUUGACAAAGGUAAUUUUUAACUUGUUAGUAUGUUUAUUUGUUAGUUAAUUUUGUAUCUGUGUUUUGUUGUAUAUCCUAAAUCUUUUAUUUGAUCUUAUACAUUCAUAUAAGUUUUAUUAUUUAUAUCUAUUUUUAAGGUCUGAUGAUGGCUAAAUAGCCGAAACCGGUCACUAAUAAAGAUUUUUUUGA